Molecule: long non-coding RNA, 3358 nt
Organism: Egretta garzetta (little egret)
Lineage: Eukaryota; Metazoa; Chordata; Aves; Pelecaniformes; Ardeidae
Exons: 2
Source: RefSeq, a predicted model, not a curated record
CUUCUCUUAUUUCCUAAACAACCAAUAAUAUUUAUAUUUGUCAAGUAGUACUUAACAUGACAUUUUCCAGUUUUAAGUUGCUACUGUAGCACUUCAGUUGACUUUAACUUACAGUUACAAUAUAAAAUCCACCAACUCACAGCUGAUCCUCACUUUUCCAAACUUAUGUUCUAUAGCAAAAUGCUGUGUUUCUGGGUUGGCUCAUUGCACAUGUUAUUCAUUGUUUACAUUUUUUACCUAUAGAUACCCAUAAUAUCUGCCGAACAUCUGACUAGCCACAAGUAUGUUACACAGAUGUAGACAUUUUGUCAUCAAACAAUCAUAACUAAAGAGAAAAGGACAGUGUGUUUGGGUUGAGAAGAGGACAAGCUCAUUAGCCAUAAUGUAUAUACUAUCAAGCAACACUCGGAAACUCCCUCAGCAGUAAGACAUCCACACAUUGCAUGUUAACGAGAUGAAACAAGAACUUGGAAAUCCACUGCACACUGUUGCCUAUAUACUUUGUACAUUUAAUUGAUAUUUGUGCUGAGGUGAUCUUAUUGUCUAAAAACUACAACAUUGUCUAUCUUUUCUAGCACAGAAGUAUGCAUAUGGAUUUGAAUAUGCAUAUGUAGUCUAUUUCCUACAUAAUCAUGUAUGUCACCUUGAAAAGACAGACGAUGAUGUAACCAUAAAUCUAUUAUGUAUUGGUACGUCUGUAGACCAAGAUAUAAUUUUUUAAAGUAAGUUUAUUUCUUUCAAGGUUUACAAAUAACAAAGGUGCACCUUGUAUUUAAAAUUGCCAUUAUAGAUGAGAGCGUGCAUGCACAGUAAUUUUUGUUUAAGAGUAAUAUUUUUAAUGUAAUAGAUUGUAAGAAGUGGUAAGAGAGGUAUCUGACAGAGAUGAAUGUGCCAAGCAAAACCACAACUGUGUAUAUUUUAAAGCACAUCAAUGGCUUUAAAUACCAUGUUGUUAAGGAUUCUCAUGAAGUGCCAUAGACUGUACAUCUGUUUAGAGUAUUAUUUCUGCAGUGUUAUUUUCAGAACCACGUUUUCACUUACUUUAUUAGUACUAAUCAGUCAAAGGGCACCAUUCUGUUUCAAACCAAAGCUGUCUCAGAAAUGGCCAACGAUUCCUUACAGUAACAGUAGACAGCACAAGGAAGAUACUCUAGCCGUACAAAUUAACCCAUACUGGACAUAUAUAUAAACUAUUUUAAGGCAUCGUAGUGUAAUAUUUAUGCAUAUUUUACUGUAUAACGUGAUAUAUGAAAGGGAAAAGCCAUUUCUGAGACACAGUAACAAAUGUUUGAGGAACUUCUUUUGCUUCUAUUUAUAGCCUCUGUCGAAAGUCAAAAGGACUAUAAAUGUUUUGCAGAGAUGGGUUUCACUUUUACUUCAUCAAAGUCACGCUUUACACGGUGACUCUAAACAAAGACGAAAGAAGCACUGACAUCAGAUGCAUGACAAACCAAAAUAUGAAAAAAUGGAGAUGUUAAUUAGCAUAGAAAUUGGGUGGGUUAAAUACUUGGGUGAGUUUUAUAUGUGAUUUUUUUUGUUCAGAUUAACUGCUUAUAGCCUUAGAAAGCCUUUACAAAAUAAAAACAAAAAAAUAGAUGUGCAUUCAAGUUUUAAGAAUGGAUUCAUCCAAAGGAAUUCCUUUUUGUGGUUUGGAUGUUGCAGCUAGUAAAGGAUAUUUUUGCUCUGUUCAGCAAAGUGCUGAAGUGGGGGCCAGGUCACUGGUAGCGUAGCGUGGAGUGGAAGAAGCGCGAGUUCGGUUGUAGAACUCUCCAUACUUCCAAGUUUACUGCGAGUUUUUAUGCUUGAGAGAGAUGCUUUAUAGUAUAAGAAUGAUGUGUUGAUUUUACUGAUUGUACUGUACAUCUAUUAAAGCCUUAGAUUAUUACAUUACGGGUUAAAACCCAUACCAAUGUAAUUUCAAUCGUGUUAAGAAAGUAUAGGUGACUUCACAUGUUAUUGUAGUUACUUAACAUUAUAGAAUAUUACUUAUUUUUUUCUUGUUAAAAGUGUAGUUUUUAUUUCUUACAUUUAUUAGAUUGUUUUCAUUUUCUAUUACCAGUUGAAUACCAUUUCAGUUUAUAGAAUUUUGUUUUAUUAGAGUUUACUGAUGACUUUUUCAAAAUACAAAAAAAAAAAGUAGUUUUCUUCAUAACAUACUCAGUUUUGAAUUUACAUGUAGUGUCAUAUGAGUAUUCGUAUUAUUGUUAACUAAAUGAUUUAUAUUUUACUGAUUUAAUAUUACAAUGUAAGAAUGUCAGUCAUUGUUAGUUCUUGUCUAGUUUUCAUUAAAAGAACAAAGAUCUUUUAUAUGGAUAUCUUAUAAUUAUAUAAUCAUUGCUAAGUAAGAAGUUAAGUUGUUGCUAUCGCAACAAUCCUGGCAGACAAUUGAGUAAUAUUUUGAUGAUUUAUUUUGUUUGUAAUUAGUUAUUAUGAGAAAAUCUAGUUCCUAGAUAUUAGAAUAAAAUUUAUUUUCUACUGUAUCCAUUUCAAAUGUUAAAAUAUUGUUUAAAUAUUUUUUGAAAUCCCUGAAUAUCAGGCCUUGUUAUAAAUAAGCUGCAUAAUCAAUAGAUCAAGGGACUUUUUGUUGAUAAUCCAAAUACUCAAAGUUUACGUAACAAGAAUUAUAGUGUGUGUGUGCAAACUCUUGAGGGUUGAUUAUGCUGCAGUUAGCAUGUGGGAACGUAUAGAGAGAAGGUUGACUUUUUGCACUUCUGUAUAUAGUCAAAAAAGAGAGAAACCUGUAUAAUAGUAAGAUCUUAUUUUGAAUAAAAAUGUCUAUAAUUACAAGGAGUUUUGUUAAGGCUAAUAAAAUGACAGGCUGAACAAAAUUGCUUGCAAAAGUGGCACAGAGUUAGCACUCCAUACCCCUUCAAAAAAGUUGCUUUGCUUUAUGUGGACAGCUUGUAGUUUGCCAGGAUUUUUUCAGCUGGAAAGAUAUGCCAUCCUUCCAAGAUCUCAUGACUGACAAAAGCUCCACUGGUUCAAAUCUGCCUGAAAAUCAUUAAUAAAGAAAAAAAGAAAAAAAAAAAGAAAAAAAAAGUAAAAAAAGCAGGUACUUCAAACCAUCAAGGUGAAAUCAUGGAUCAAAUAUUCCGUACAUUAUUCAAAAACUACUGCAUGUUUAAAGUAUCAGAAAAAUAUAUUAAAGAUAUAUGCUAUUCAAUCCAGUUUCUGACAAUUUCAGUGGUUUAUUGUUCACAAAAAAAGAUUCUUCAAAACAAAUACUGACUUUCACAAAAGAGUUAAAUCAUGAACAGGCAAACCAAACAGCACACCGUAGCUGUAGUUGUUAUGUGAUUAUUUUUUAUUGCUGUAGUGGUCCUGUUCUUUUAGCAGGUGAAAAGGAAAAAAAAAAAAA